Non-coding RNA from Lingula anatina, 73 nucleotides. NCBI's taxonomy places the organism in Eukaryota, Metazoa, Brachiopoda, Lingulata, Lingulida, Lingulidae. The record is from Rfam.
GGCUCUGUAGCUCAGUCGUUAAGAGCGGUCGCACGGUUUGCGAGAGUCCCGGGUUCGAGUCCCGGUCAAGCCU